UGGGGAAUAUUGCACAAUGGAGGGAACUCUGAUGCAGCGACGCCGCGUGAACGAAGAAGGCUUUCGAGUCGUAAAGCUCUUUUAUAUGGGAAGAUAAUGACGGUACCAUAAGAAAAAGCCCCGGCUAACUACGUGCCAGCAGCCGCGGUAAUACGUAGGGGGCUAGCGUUGUCCGGAAUCACUGGGCGUAACGGGUUCGGAGGCGGAAAUGCAAGUCAGGUGUAAAAGGCAGUAGCUUAACUACUGUAAGCAUUUGAAACUGCAUAUCUUGAGAAGAGUAGAGGUAAGUGGAAUUUUUAGUGUAGCGGUGAAAUGCGUAGAUAUUAAAAGGAAUACCGGUGGCGAAGGCGACUUACUGGGCUCAUUCUGACGCUGAGGAACGAAAGCGUGGGUAGCAAACAGG
Molecule: ribosomal RNA, 403 nt
Filed under: Fusobacteriota bacterium
Lineage: Bacteria; Fusobacteriati; Fusobacteriota
Description: Fusobacteria bacterium partial 16S ribosomal RNA
Rfam family: Bacterial small subunit ribosomal RNA
Source: RNAcentral